This 497-nucleotide ribosomal RNA is filed under the name uncultured bacterium. RNAcentral describes it as "partial 16S ribosomal RNA". It matches the Rfam family "Bacterial small subunit ribosomal RNA", at positions 28 to 507 of the family's 1533-position model. The record is from RNAcentral.
GACGAACGCUGGCGGCGUGCCUAAUACAUGCAAGUAGAACGCUGAAGAGAGGAGCUUGCUCUUCUUGGAUGAGUUGCGAACGGGUGAGUAACGCGUAGGUAACCUGCCUUGUAGCGGGGGAUAACUAUUGGAAACGAUAGCUAAUACCGCAUAACAAUGGAUGACACAUGUCAUUUAUUUGAAAGGGGCAAUUGCUCCACUACAAGAUGGACCUGCGUUGUAUUAGCUAGUAGGUGAGGUAAGGGCUCACCUAGGCGACGAUACAUAGCCGACCUGAGAGGGUGGUCGGCCACACUGGGACUGAGACACGGCCCAGACUCCUGCGGGAGGCAGCAGUAGGGAAUCUUCGGCAAUGGGGGCAACCCUGACCGAGCAACGCCGCGUGAGUGAAGAAGGUUUUCGGAUCGUAAAGCUCUGUUGUAAGUCAAGAACGGGUGUGAGAGUGGAAAGUUCACACUGUGACGGUAGCUUACCAGAAAGGGACGGCUAACUACGUG